This 795-nucleotide ribosomal RNA is filed under the name uncultured bacterium. RNAcentral's name for it is "bacterial SSU rRNA". It matches the Rfam family "Bacterial small subunit ribosomal RNA", at positions 8 to 796 of the family's 1533-position model. The record is from RNAcentral.
AGAGUUUGAUCCUGGCUCAGAUUGAACGCUGGCGGCGUGCCUAACACAUGCAAGUCGAGCGGUAACAGGUGUAGCAAUACAUGCUGACGAGCGGCGAACGGGUGAGUAAUGCUUUGGAAUCUUCCCAGUAGUGGGGAAUAACCAGUCGAAAGAUUGGCUAAUACCGCAUACGUCUGUAAAGGGAAAGCGGGGGCUCGUAAGACCUCGCGCUAUUGGAUGAGCCAAAGUCGGAUUAGCUAGUUGGUGGGGUAAUGGCCUACCAAGGCGACAAUCCGUAGCUGGUCUGAGAGGACGACCAGCCACACCGGAACUGAGACACGGUCCGGACUCCUACGGGAGGCAGCAGUGGGGAAUAUUGGACAAUGGGGGAAACCCUGAUCCAGCGACGCCGCGUGUGUGAAGAAGGCCUGCGGGUUGUAAAGCACUUUUAGUGGGGACAAAAAGCUACGGACUAAUAAUCUGUGGUCUUGAUUUAACCCAAAGAAAAAGCACCGGCUAACUCUGUGCCAGCAGCCGCGGUAAUACAGAGGGUGCGAGCGUUAAUCGGAAUUACUGGGCGUAAAGCGCGCGUAGACGGUUUUGUAAGUCAGAUGUGAAAUCCCUGGGCUCAACCUGGGAACUGCAUUUGAAACUGCAUGGCUAGAGUAUCGAAGAGGGAAGUGGAAUUUCCGGUGUAGCGGUGAAAUGCGUAGAUAUCGGAAGGAACACCAGUGGCGAAAGCGACUUCCUGGUCGAAUACUGACGUUCAUGUGCGAAAGCGUGGGGAGCAAACAGGAUUAGAUACCCCAGUAGUCC